UAAGGAAUAUUGGACAAUGGUCGCAAGACUGAUCCAGCCAUGCCGCGUGAAGGAUGACGGCCCUAUGGGUUGUAAACUUCUUUUGUAUGGGAAAAAACCUCUCUACGUGUAGAGAGCUGAUGGUACCAUAAGAAUAAGGAUCGGCUAACUCCGUGC
This 156-nucleotide ribosomal RNA is filed under the name uncultured bacterium. RNAcentral describes it as "partial 16S ribosomal RNA". It matches the Rfam family "Bacterial small subunit ribosomal RNA", at positions 355 to 508 of the family's 1533-position model. The record is from RNAcentral.